RNAcentral lists this ribosomal RNA (253 nucleotides) under uncultured bacterium. RNAcentral describes it as "partial 16S ribosomal RNA". It matches the Rfam family "Bacterial small subunit ribosomal RNA", at positions 524 to 776 of the family's 1533-position model. The record is from RNAcentral.
UACGUAGGGGGCAAGCGUUGUCCGGAUUUAUUGGGCGUAAAGAGCGUGUAGGCGGCCAGACAGGUCCGUUGUGAAAACUCGAGGCUCAACCUCGAGACGCCGAUGGAAACCGUUUGGCUAGAGUCCGGAAGAGGAGAGUGGAAUUCCUGGUGUAGCGGUGAAAUGCGCAGAUAUCAGGAGGAACACCGAUUGCGAAGGCAGCUCGCUGGGACGUUACUGACGCUGAGACGCGAAAGCGUGGGGAGCAAACAGG